RNAcentral lists this ribosomal RNA (207 nucleotides) under uncultured Methanomicrobiales archaeon. RNAcentral describes it as "partial 16S ribosomal RNA". It matches the Rfam family "Archaeal small subunit ribosomal RNA", at positions 1132 to 1338 of the family's 1478-position model. Lineage: Archaea; Methanobacteriati; Methanobacteriota; Methanomicrobia; Methanomicrobiales. The record is from RNAcentral.
AGGGCAACGGUAGGUCAGCAUGCCCCGAAUUAUCUGGGCUACACGCGGGCUACAAUGGGUGGGACAAUGGGUAUCGACACCGAAAGGUGAAGGCAAUCUCCUAAACCCAUCCGUAGUUCGGAUUGUGGGCUGCAACUCGCCCACAUGAAGCUGGAAUCUGUAGUAAUCGUGUCUCAAAAUGGCACGGUGAAUAUGUCCCUGCUCCUU